This 252-nucleotide ribosomal RNA is filed under the name uncultured bacterium. RNAcentral's name for it is "partial 16S ribosomal RNA". It matches the Rfam family "Bacterial small subunit ribosomal RNA", at positions 524 to 776 of the family's 1533-position model. The record is from RNAcentral.
UACGGAGGAUGCGAGCGUUAUCCGGAUUUAUUGGGUUUAAAGGGUGCGUAGGCGGGCUUUUAAGUCAGCGGUAAAAAUUCGGGGCUCAACCCCGUCCGGCGGUUGAAACUGGGGGCCUUGAGUGGGCGAGAAGAAGGCGGAAUGCGUGGUGUAGCGGUGAAAUGCAUAGAUAUCACGCAGAACCCCGAUUGCGAAGGCAGCCUUCCGGCGCCCUACUGACGCUGAGGCACGAAAGUGCGGGGAUCGAACAGG